Molecule: ribosomal RNA, 402 nt
Filed under: uncultured bacterium
Lineage: Bacteria
Description: bacterial SSU rRNA
Rfam family: Bacterial small subunit ribosomal RNA
Source: RNAcentral
UAGGGAAUAUUAGAAAUGGACGAAAGUCUGAUCUAGCGACACCGCGUGUGCGAUGAAGGCCUUCGGGUUGUAAAGCACUUUUUGGAAGGAAUAGGAAGGAAGGUACUUCCAGAAUAAGUCUCGGCUAACUACGUGCCAGCAGCCGCGGUAACACGUAGGAGGCAAACGUUAUCCGGAUUUACUGGGCGUAAAGCGCGUGUAGGUGGUUCUGUAAGUAGGGCGUGAAAGCUCCCGGCUCAACUGGGAGAGGCCGUUCUAAACUGCAGAACUAGAGGAUGGUAGAGGGAGGUGGAAUUCCAGGUGUAGCGGUGGAAUGCGCAGAUAUCUGGAGGAACACCAGUGGCGAAAGCGGCCUCCUGGACCAUUCCUGACACUCAGACGCGAAAGCUAGGGUAGCAAACG